GGGGCUCCAGUUGUUUAUAUAGAAGGCUGUCAAAUAGCUGGUUGCACAGCUGUGAGAUCGUACGAUCUCAAAAUUGCAAGGCCAUUGGAUAUAUCAUUGUAGACGAGAUAAUCCAACCCUUAAUCGCUCCUGCGAGAUUAGAGGAGUCAGUUACGCCAGAGCCUAUUCAUUCGGGGUGAAUAGCUAUUGCGUACAUUGAGAAAAUAAGUUGAUCGAGGCAGUAGGGGUGGCUCGUAUGCUAAACAGACC
This 249-nucleotide long non-coding RNA is filed under the name Elaeis guineensis (African oil palm). Its description in RNAcentral is "long non-coding RNA (EGUI_LNC013163)". The record is from RNAcentral. Lineage: Eukaryota; Viridiplantae; Streptophyta; Magnoliopsida; Arecales; Arecaceae.